RNAcentral lists this ribosomal RNA (618 nucleotides) under uncultured bacterium. Its description in RNAcentral is "bacterial SSU rRNA". It matches the Rfam family "Bacterial small subunit ribosomal RNA", at positions 169 to 803 of the family's 1533-position model. The record is from RNAcentral.
CCGCAUAAGCCCACGGUACCGCAUGGUACUGAGGGAAAAGGAAUUAUUCGCUUUAGGAUGGACUCGCGUCCAAUUAGCUAGUUGGUGAGGUAACGGCCCACCAAGGCGACGAUUGGUAGCCGGACUGAGAGGUUGAACGGCCACAUUGGGACUGAGACACGGCCCAGACUCCUACGGGAGGCAGCAGUGGGGGAUAUUGCACAAUGGGGGAAACCCUGAUGCAGCGACGCCGCGUGGAGGAAGAAGGUUUUCGGAUUGUAAACUCCUGUCGUUAGGGACGAUAAUGACGGUACCUAACAAGAAAGCACCGGCUAACUACGUGCCAGCAGCCGCGGUAAAACGUAGGGUGCAAGCGUUGUCCGGAAUUACUGGGUGUAAAGGGAGCGCAGGCGGGAAGACAAGUUGGAAGUGAAAACCAUGGGCUCAACCCAUGAAUUGCUUUCAAAACUGUUUUUCUUGAGUAGUGCAGAGGUAGAUGGAAUUCCCGGUGUAGCGGUGGAAUGCGUAGAUAUCGGGAGGAACACCAGUGGCGAAGGCGGUCUACUGGGCACCAACUGACGCUGAGGCUCGAAAGCAUGGGUAGCAAACAGGAUUAGAUACCCUGGUAGUCCAUGCCGU